This 73-nucleotide transfer RNA is filed under the name Patescibacteria group bacterium. Its description in RNAcentral is "tRNA-Trp". It matches the Rfam family "tRNA". From Rfam's summary of the family: Transfer RNA (tRNA) molecules are approximately 80 nucleotides in length. Their secondary structure includes four short double-helical elements and three loops (D, anti-codon, and T loops). The record is from RNAcentral.
GAGGCAGUAGCGCAAACGGUAGUGCACCGGUCCCCAAAACCGGGGGUUGGGGGUUCGAGCCCCCCCUGCCUCG